UCGAGAGGCUUCGGCAAUGGGGGAAACCCUGACCGAGCGACGCCGCGUGGAGGAUGAAGGCCCUUGGGUCGUAAACUCCUUUCGUGGGGAAAGAAUGUGUCCGGGGUAAAUAAUCCCGGGCAUUGACGGUACCCCAAGAAGAAGCUCUGGCUAACUCCGUGCCAGCAGCCGCGGUAAUACGGGGGGAGCAAGCGUUGUUCGGAAUCACUGGGCGUAAAGGGCGUGUAGGCGGUUCGGUAAGUGGGAUGUGAAAUGCCCCGGCUCACCCGGGGACCUGCAUCCCAAACUGCUGAGCUUGAGUACAGGAGAGGGUGGGGGAAUUCCAGGUGUAGCGGUGAAAUGCGUAGAUAUCUGGAGGAACACCGGUGGCGAAGGCGCCCACCUGGCCUGCUACUGACGCUGAGGCGCGAAAGCUAGGAGAGCAAACGGGAUUAGAUACCCCGGUAGUCCUAGCCGUAAACGGUGAUCACUAGGUGUUGGGAGCAUCGACCCUUCCAGUGCCGCAGCUAACGCAUUAAG
This 519-nucleotide ribosomal RNA is filed under the name uncultured Latescibacterota bacterium. Its description in RNAcentral is "bacterial SSU rRNA". It matches the Rfam family "Bacterial small subunit ribosomal RNA", at positions 355 to 864 of the family's 1533-position model. Lineage: Bacteria; Pseudomonadati; Candidatus Latescibacterota. The record is from RNAcentral.